This 8994-nucleotide long non-coding RNA is filed under the name Medicago truncatula (barrel medic). RNAcentral describes it as "long non-coding RNA (MTRU_LNC007825)". The record is from RNAcentral. Lineage: Eukaryota; Viridiplantae; Streptophyta; Magnoliopsida; Fabales; Fabaceae.
GCCGAUCACAAUUUGCUGCAAGUGAAAAUUUUCACAAGAUUUUGAAGGCUUUGAACUCAAUAGCACCUGAUUUGAUGGCUAAACCAACCUCAAGCGUGCCUGCAAAAAUAAGGGAAAGCACAAGAUUUUAUCCUUACUUCAAGGUAUGUGAUCAUUAUCUAAUUAUAAGAGAAUUGUAAAUAUAAUCAUCUUUAUUAUAAUAAUAUUUUUUUUAUGGUUAUAUAUGAAUACACUUUUAGGAUUGCAUUGGAGCUAUUGAUGGUACGCAUAUUCCUGCAUUGGUAAGAGGACGAGAUGUAAGCAGUUAUCGUGAUCGUCAUGGAAGGAUAUCACAAAAUGUAUUAGCUGCUUGUAAUUUUGAUUUGGAGUUCAUGUACGUUCUCAGCGGGUGGGAGGGUUCAGCCCAUGAUUCCAAGUUGCUAAAUGAUGCUUUGAAAAGGAAGAAUGGACUAAAAGUGCCCCACGGUAAGUAAUUAAUUUUUAAAAUAUACUGAUGUUGUUUUUCUUUCACUUUCAUACUUAUUUUAUAUGUAUUUUAAAUUUAAUUAGGUAAAUAUUUUCUGGUGGAUUGCGGAUUUGCUAAUCGACGCAAAUUUUUAGCUCCACAUCGAGGUGUGCGAUAUCAUCUACAAGAUUUUGCAGGUCACGGUAAUGACCCUGAAAAUGAAAAAGAGUUAUUCAAUCUUCGGCAUGCGUCUUUAAGGAAUGUGGUUGAGAGAAUAUUUGGUAUUUUUAAAUCGCGUUUCACAAUUUUUAAGUCAGCACCUCCAUUUUUGUUUAAGACACAAGCAGAACUUGUGUUGGCAUGUGCAGCACUUCAUAACUUUCUUCGCAAAGAAUGUCGUUCCGAUGAAUUUCCAAUUGAACCUUCUAACGAGUCUUCAUCUUCAUCUUCAAUGUUACCUAUUCAUGAAGACAAUAAUGAUGAACUCAAUGUUCAAACACAAGAGCAAGAACGAGAAGAUGCUAAUAUAUGGAGGACUAAUUUAGGUUUAGAUAUGUGGAGAGAUGUACAAGGAAUACCGUGAUACUACUCUAAACGGUGAUUCAGUGAAUCACAUUUCCCUUUUCAUAUUGGGAGAUGCUAAUAUCUAAAGAUAACCUUGUUUUAUCUUUUUGUUAUGCAGUUAUUUGUUUUUCUCUUUUUGAUGUACCGGUACAAGCUCGAUUUUGAAUCUAGAGAUCACUUUGUUUCGGAAAAAAAAAAUUAUUUGUUUACUAUUUCUAUCAUUCACGGUUGUAAGUUUGUUCUUUUUCCGCUAAAGUUCAUUGAAUCCUUUGAAAUAUUAAAAUCUCAUAAAAUCCUUUGAAAUCCUUAAAAUUCAGUGUGAUAAAUCCCAUAAAAUCCUUUGAAAUCCUUAAAAGUCAGUAUGAUAAAUCCCUUAAAGUCUUUUAAAAUCUCACAGAAUCAAUACAAUCCCACAAAGUCUUUUAAAAUCUUAAAGACUUUUUUUGUUAAAAAAGUCUUUUAAAAUCCUAAUCCAAUACACCCCCCUUAGUGACUUGCAAAUAGAGAGAAAAUCAUGACGAGUGAAGGAAGUUUUGUGCAGCCUGCAAUUCCCCGCUUCGAUGGUCAUUACGAUCAUUGGAGCAUGUUGAUGGAGAAUUUUCUAAGAUCCAAAGAAUAUUGGAGCUUAGUAGAGACUGGUUAUGCAGAACCAGAACAAGCUGUGACAGAUGCAGAAAGAAAAAGGCUAGAUGAGUUGAAGUUGAAGGACUUGAAAUGCAAGAACUAUUUGUUCCAGGCCAUAGAUCGUACCAUCCUGGAGACAAUUCUUCAGAAGAACACUUCAAAACAAAUUUGAGACUCUAUGAAGAAAAAGUAAGAAGGAAAUGCAAGAGUAAAGCGGUUACACCUUCAAGCUCUUCGCAAAGAGUUUGAGACAUUGGAGAUGAAAUCUGGUGAGAAUGUUUCUGAUUAUUUCUCCAGAGUCAUGUCAGUAGCCAAUAGAAUGAAGGUGUAUGGUGAACAAUUGGUAGAUACUACAAUUGUGGAGAAAAUACUUCGAUCCUUAACAGAGAAAUACAAUUACAUUGUUUGCUCUAUUGAGGAGUCGAAGGAUAUUGAUGUUAUGUCCGUCGAUGAGCUGCAAAGUUCAUUAAUUGUUCACGAGCAGAAGUUUCAUAAGCAUGAUACGGAAGAACAAGCCUUGAAGAUAACACAUGAGAAUAGAUCAGGAGGAGGAGGAAGAGGUCGUGGCCGAGGAUCAUUCAGAGGAAGAGGCAGAGGACGUCAAGCCUUCGACAGGUCCAUCGUUGAGUGCUACAAAUGUCACAAGCUUGGACACUUUCAAUAUGAGUGUCCUAGUUUAGGCAAAGAAGCUAAUUAUGCUGAGCUUGAUAAUAAUGAAGAAAUGUUGCUGAUGUCAUAUGUGGAUCAUAAUGAAGCAAAAAGAGAGGAUGUGUGGUUUCUGGAUUCAGGAUGCAGCAAUCAUAUGUGCGGAGACAAAACGUUGUUUAGUGAUCUAAACGAAAGCUUUACACAAAUGGUGAAAUUGGGAAAUAAUUCAAGCAUGUCAGUAAGAGGAAAAGGAAAUGUAAGGCUGUUAGUAAGCGGUGUUGUUCAUGUAGUCACAGAGGUGUUUUAUGUGCCGGAGUUAAGGAAUAACUUAUUGAGCAUUGGUCAGCUACAACAAAAAGGAUUAUCAAUUGUUAUUCAAAAUGAUAAGUGUCGAAUUUACCAUCCGGUGAAAGGAUUAAUUAUCCAAACAGAAAUGACAUCUAAUAGGAUGUUUUUUCUGUUAGCUAUGUAUCAACCAAGAAGGGAAGCUUGUUUCCAUACAACCUCUCAAGAAUUGUCUCACCUCUGGCACCGUAGAUUUGGACAUUUGAGCUAUAAAGGCCUAAGAACACUCCAAUUCAAGAAAAUGGUUCAUGGUCUGCCUCAAUUCUCUGCUUCCUCGACAAUAUGCACAUCAUGUAUGGUAGGAAAGCAACACCGUAAUCCGUUUCCAAAGAAAAGUCAUUGGAGAGCAUCACAAAAGCUUCAACUAAUUCAUGCUAACUUGUGCGGUCCGAUCACUCCCAUAUCAAAUGGCAGCAAAAGGUACUUAAUCAGUUUUAUUGAUGACUUUACUCGAAAAGUUUGGAUUUAUUUUUUGGUAGAGAAAUCUGAUGCAUUCAAUACUUUUAAACAUUUUAAAAGUCUUGUUGAGAAAGAAACUGAGAGUUGCAUCAAGUGUCUACGUACUGAUCGAGGAGGGGAGUUCACCUCAAAUGAAUUUAACUUGUUUUGUAAAGAAAACGGGAUCAGGAGGCAGUUGACGGCUGCAUACACUCCACAACAAAAUGGUGUUGCGGAAAGAAAAAAUAGAACUGUUAUGAAUAUGGUGAGGAGCUUGCUAGCAGAGAAAAAUAUUCCUAAGAAUUUUUGGCCAGAAGCUGUGAAUUGGGCUGUUCAUGUUUUAAAUCGCAGUCCUACCUUAGCUGUAAAACACAUGACUCCAGAAGAGGCUUGGAGUGGAAUUAAGCCUUCUGUUGAACAUUUCCGUGUUUUUGGAUGUGUCUCACAUGUACAUGUACCUGACACCAAGAGAAAAAAAUUAGAAGACAAAAGUUUUACUUGUGUGCUGUUGGGAAUUAGCGAAGAAUCCAAAGCCUAUAAGCUUUAUGAUCCAAUAUCAAAAAGGAUAGUGGUUAGCCAAGAUGUUAAGUUUGAAGAAGAUAAAUCAUGGGACUGGAACAAUAGUGACAAGGAGUUAAUUGCAGCUGACUUAGAGUGGGGUGAAGAUGAAGGAGAAGUUGUUAGAAACAAUGAAAAUCAUGAAGACGUUGAAGGUGAUAGUGAUGUUGAAGAAGUGGAGAUAAAUUCCUCAAGUGAUUUGAAUGAUGUAAGCUCACCUAGUUCGAGUGAAGGGAGACAUAGAAGAAGACCAGGUUGGAUGGAUGAUUAUGAGAGUGGAGAAGGUCUUUCUCAAGAAGAUGAGGCUAAUAUGGUGUUGUUUGCAACUGCUGAUCCUGUGCAUUUUGAAGAGGCGGUGAAAAGUCAGAAGUGGAGAGUAGCUAUGGAUGAUGAGAUUAAAGCAAUUGAAAAGAAUGAAACUUGGGUUUUGACUGAUCUUCCAGCACAUGCCAAAAAGAUUGGUGUCAAGUGGGUUUACAAAACAAAACUCAACGAAAAUGGAGAGCUAGACAAGUACAAAGCACGUCUGGUAGCUAAAGGCUAUGCACAACAGUAUGGAGUCGACUACACUGAAGUAUUUGCACCUGUGGCAAGAAUGGAUACAGUUCGAAUGAUUGUUGCUCUUGCUGCUCAAAGAGGCUGGGUAGUAUACCAACUAGAUGUAAAGUCAGCGUUUCUGCACGGUGAACUGAAUGAGGACGUGUUUGUGGAGCAGCCGAAGGGAUAUGAGAAGAAAGGUAGUCCAAACAAGGUCUAUAAGUUGAAAAAGGCUUUAUAUGGGCUUAAACAAGCUCCACGAUCCUAGUUCAGCCGAAUAGAAUCUUAUUUUGUGAAGGAAGGAUUUGAAAAAUGUCAUAGUGAGCACACUUUGUUUGUGAAAGUCAGUAAAGAAGGUAAAAUUCUGAUUGUUAGUAUUUAUGUUGACGAUCUUAUUUUUACAGGGAAUGAUGAGUCUAUGUUUGAAGAUUUUAAAAAUUCAAUGAUGCAUGAAUUUGAUAUGUCCGAUCUUGGAAGGAUGAGAUACUUUCUUGGUAUUGAAGUAUUGCAAAGAGAUGAUGGAAUUUAUAUUUGUCAAAGGAAGUAUGCCAUGAAAGUGUUGAGAAGAUUUGGAAUGGAAGAGAGCAAUUCUGUGCAUAAUCCUAUUGUCCCAGGAUUUCGAGUUUGCAAAGAUACUGAUGGAGUUAAGGUGGAUGCAACUUUCUUCAAACAAAUGGUAGGUAGCUUGAUGUACUUGACAGCUACUCGACCUGACUUAAUGUUUGUGGUUAGUCUCGUUAGUCGAUACAUGGAGCAGCCAACCGAGUUGCAUUUACAAGUAGUAAAAAGAGUGUUGAGGUAUUUGAAGGGUACAUCAGAUUUUGGAAUUUUCUACAAGAAGGGAGGGAGUGAUGAUUUGGUGGCUUAUGCUGAUAGUGAUUAUGCUGGUGAUUUAGAGGACAGAAAAAGUACAUCAGGAUAUGUUUUUUUGAUGAGCUCAGGUGUUGUUUCAUGGUCAUCUAAGAAGCAACCUAUUGUUACCCUUUCAACAACUGAAGCAGAGUUUGUGGCUGCUGCAUACUGUGCCAGUCAAGUUGUUUGGAUGAGGAGGAUCAUGGAAAAACUUGGUCACUCCCAAAGUGGCAGUACUGUCAUGUUUUGUGACAAUAGUUCGACAAUCAAACUGUCUAAGAAUCCUGUGUUACACGGUCGCUGCAAGCACAUAGAUGUUCGUUUCCAUUUCUUGCGUGAUCUUACAAAAGAUGGAAUUGUGGAGUUAGUUUUCUGUGGAACUAGAGAGCAAAUAGCAGAUGUGAUGACCAAACCUCUCAAGUUGGAUAUUUUUCUUAAGCUGCGAAGUUUGAUGGGAGUCUGUCAAAUUCCAGAAGUAAACUGACAGCUCAGUUUAGGGGAGGGAAUGAUGAGAUAUUUUAUAUUUUGCUUGAGUUUGUUUUUGUUAGAAUAAUCCCUAUUAACUAGGGAAGUAGCAGUAGGUUGUUAUUUGACUCAUUCUUAGUUUUGAUUGCCACUAUUAAGUUAAGCAUGUACGUGGCUUAGUUGUUGCUAUUUCUUAGGACUGUACUGGCUAUUUAAUAGCUACUAUUAUUUCCAUUCAAUAAAACAAGUCAUUCCCAACAGAACUUUCAUAUAAUCAAAGGCCUUUCCAUAUCAUGAAUAUUAAUCCUUUCCAUAUCAUGAAUUUCGGACAAAUAACAUGAAAAACAAAGCAAAUUUCUGAAACAUGUGCUGAAAUUCUUCAGACCAUGAACCCAACAUAUUACACCAAAUUACCUCCAUAAAAUUCACAAAAUCUAAAAGACAAUCACCUAUCAAUAGAUACAAACAAACUAAGUAAGGCCAUAACAACCAAAAUCUGAAUUGUAACAUCAAAGAAUUCACUCACAGUAUCAAAGAAGCUUUCAUCUUAUAUCAUUUGUAUCAAAGAAGCUUUCAUCUAUAUCAUUUUUAUCCAUAUCACGUAACAAAGAACUUUCCUAUAACAUGGAAUAAAACAACGAAUUAGGCAAAAACCAUUUAAACAUCACACCAAAUCACCAUAAUCAACAUGCAUGCAUGAGAAAGGGUCACAUUAUAACCUUAUUCCAACACACAAAAUCACAAAACAACAAAACAAACCAACAAACUCAUAAUCACAAAACAACAAAUCCAUAAACCCAAACCGAUUGGAUUAAAUCUAAUGCAAUUUUUAUUAGACUGUGAGAAGAGUGUCAUGGAUCAAAUUAGGUCUUCACUCAAAAUUCUUCAAUAUCAAGCAAAAAAAUUCAUUGGUGUUUUCUUAUGGCACUCUUAUCUCUUUCAAAUACACUAUUGAAUUUCAGAUUUUAUUUUAUGAAAAGCACAAGAUACUCCCUCUCCGCACAUUUUUUUUGGAUUUUACAAUCCAAAAGUAAAACGCGCGAGAAGCUUGGAGGUGACGAAAAAUUCGCAAAUUCAUUAUCAUAAAAUUUGUUUAGAAGUGUCUCUAAAAUUUCACAAAUUCAUUAUCAUAAAAAUCUCUCUAAAAUGAAAUAAAAUGAAAAAAAGGAUCAUGUGUCUCUAACCUGUUGCAUGACAAAGGGAGCUACAAAACCAUUGGUAUUCAUGUUACUGUGAAGAAGUGUUUCAUAAGGCACAAAAUUCAUCUCUUGUAAACAUUCAUAGCUAUCAUCAUCAUCAUCAUAAACCCUGUUAAUCCCAGAAGUUCCUUCACCAUCUUUUCCUCUACUAUUACUCCCCAUCAUAAACACAAACCAAGAAUUUUUAUAGUAAUAAUCACUUUUAUCCUUAGAAUCAAAUUAUCCAUCAAAGAAACAAAGUAAGCUAGAAGAAAAUAUCCAUAUUCAAGAAGUGAAACUGAAAAAAGACACCACCAAUCCAAAGAUGUUAACCCUAUGAUCCAAAAAAUGUAGGAAAAAAAAAAAUACCAAAAUCAAAUCCAGAGAACUGAAAAAAUAAUCCCUUUUAGGUUAAAAAAGCUACAACAAAAACCAUACAAUGAUCAUACCUUCUACAUUCUAUCUAUCAGAACCAAUUAUUCACGAAAUUUAUCCUUUUAAAAGGUGAUUACAUGAAAAUCCAAACACAAUCGAAAAAAUAACCAAAACAUAAGCAAAAUCCAGAAAAUCAAAACAACUUCUUUUAGAAACAUCCAACAAAGACAAAAACAACAUGGAUUAUUUCGAAAUCAAAACUUCCAAAACUGGAUUAUCUCCCUCAUUAGAAACCAAAAAUAAAAUUCUCCGUAAACAGAGGAAAGAAUUAUUCUCACAGUUAAAUCCAUUUAAUCAUAUUUGACAUCUUUGUCAAGAAAAGUAUAAAUCUCACAUUCUUUGAACAGUUUCGGAAACAAUUUACCUUAAUCACACAUUCCAAUACGAAAAAAAUUUGUAGCCCUGUGUAUGGCAGAUUUCUAAGUUGAAAAUUGAUAAUGAGCUGGGAAGCGUGGUUUACAGGAAGCAUUUCACAGACAGUGUCAAGGUGUCCUAAACCACAACUUUGGAACACUGAUAAGAUUCUUCAGUUGCAAACUAUACAACACUCGUUGGCAUACAAAUCCUGCAAAACAUGUGUGGGUGAAUUCUAGAAGGCCAUCAAUUUUUAAGUCAUCAAAUAAUCAAUUCAUGCCUCACCAAUUUUAGUCAAUUUCACAAACACUUUGUGUGCAGUUUACACCAAGUGAGAUUUAAUCUCAAAAGAUUCAAUUUUUUCACAAGUUACAUGUAUAGAAACAUCACAAACAAAAACAGAAUCACACCAAAAACAAAAUCACAAACAAUUUCCUAAUUGCAAAUCAGAUUCAAAACAACAUGAACACAAAAUAUAUACCUCUUUAUUCUUAUUCUCGGUCAUGAGCUUAAGCCUCAAAAUCUUCUCCUCUUGCUCCUUAUUCCGUGUGAAGAUAUCUUGAGAAUGAAUGAUUCAAACUCAUAGCUCCUGCAAUUGGAAUUUGCAGCUAUGUGCCUAUCAAAUGCAGUUAUCACCAACAAUUUCGGCUUUAGUAAAUGCAUCCACGUGUUUAUAAAAUGAAGUUAUCACAUACGCAACAUACGCAUCAAAUAGUGAAAGAAAUUAAUAUCAGGUUCAGUAAUAUAAAAAACUAAUCAAUAAAACUACAAAUUCAACACAAAAUAGUGAAAAGUAAAUAUGUAUACCUCUACAUGGUUGUGUUCUGCCUCAACAACUUUGUGAACCUACAACAUAAUAGAGAAAAAUACAAUUUAAAAUCUCAAAGUACAAAUAUCAAAUAUCAUAUAGCACAAAAAUAAGAGUACAAAGUUUCUUUCUAGAUUUGCCAUCAAUUUUUCAUAUUGAGACAUUUCCUCAAACAUAAUUUAAGGAAGCAAGUCCACAUACCUUUGAGAAAAUAAUUUGAAUUCAACUUGCAAUUUUCACCGUCUGAAUCAAAACAAACAACAAAACAACAACUUCAUCAACCCAAAAAAAAAAAAAAAAAUCAAAUUCACACAGCUCAUCAAAACCGAUACAAAUUGCCACUAAAAAACAGAAAAUGAAACCUUUUUUCACUCUAAGAACAACAACAGAAAUUUAAACAAACACAGUUUUUACAUUCAAUCAAAAUUUUCAAAUUACAAUUGAUGAACACAAAACCUAAACAAUAAACAACAAAACAAAUCAGUUUAAAUUGAAGCUGAAAAUCAGGGUUUCAAAACCAAAAAAAAACCUGAAAAUUGGUUUCAAAACCAAAUCCUAGGUUUAAAUUGAAAAGUUUAAGAAGAAACUCACCUGAUUGAAAGAUUGAAUGAAGGAUUUGAGAAGAAUUGAAGCUGCAUGCAAGAGGAAUGAAGGAGUUGAAAUGCGCAUGAAGUUGAUGUAUUUAUUAAAAAUAUGAAAAUAAAUUUAAAAUUUAACGGCGGAGAAGGUUGAAAGUUCGGUGC